RNAcentral lists this transfer RNA (51 nucleotides) under Chamaeleo africanus (African chameleon). RNAcentral describes it as "tRNA-Leu". The record is from RNAcentral. Lineage: Eukaryota; Metazoa; Chordata; Lepidosauria; Squamata; Chamaeleonidae.
AUCCGAUGACCUUAGGAGUCAAGACCCUUGGUGCAACUCCAAGUAAAAGUA